This is a long non-coding RNA of Culex pipiens pallens (northern house mosquito), 157 nucleotides long. RefSeq lists it as uncharacterized. The transcript has 2 exons. Lineage: Eukaryota; Metazoa; Arthropoda; Insecta; Diptera; Culicidae. The record is from RefSeq and is a predicted model, not a curated record.
UUGUUUACUUUCCAUUUCAGGUUUACUUACAAACUACCGACACUGUACAAUGUAGCAUUCAGUGACGGUAGGCGACGACGGUGCAGUUUCUGUUGCUUCCUUCGCUGCUGGUGUGCUCGUGUUUUAAUUUCAAUAAAAUUAAACUUCCACAGCUUUA